GCCUACGGCCAUACCACCCUGAGAACGCCCCGAUCUCGUCUGAUCUCGGAAGCUAAGCAGGGUCGGGCCCGGUUAGUACUUGGAUGGGAGACCGCCUGGGAAUACCGGGUGCUGUAGGCU
Aquila chrysaetos chrysaetos is the source of this 120-nucleotide ribosomal RNA. Lineage: Eukaryota; Metazoa; Chordata; Aves; Accipitriformes; Accipitridae. The record is from Ensembl.